GGGGGGAUGGCAGAGAGGUCGAUUGCGCCGGACUGUAAAUCCGGUGGCUUAGCCCGCGUUGGUUCGAAUCCAGCUCCCCCCA
Molecule: transfer RNA, 82 nt
Filed under: Thalassospira xiamenensis
Lineage: Bacteria; Pseudomonadati; Pseudomonadota; Alphaproteobacteria; Rhodospirillales; Thalassospiraceae
Description: tRNA_Tyr_GTA
Rfam family: tRNA
About the family: Transfer RNA (tRNA) molecules are approximately 80 nucleotides in length. Their secondary structure includes four short double-helical elements and three loops (D, anti-codon, and T loops).
Source: RNAcentral